UGGACCAAUGAUAAGAGUGUGUCAUGAACUAAAGUUUAUGACUGAUCUAAAUCUGUAUCCUAAGUUCCACA
This 71-nucleotide small nucleolar RNA is filed under the name Procavia capensis (Cape rock hyrax). RNAcentral describes it as "Small nucleolar RNA SNORD112 (ENSPCAG00000020393.1)". Lineage: Eukaryota; Metazoa; Chordata; Mammalia; Hyracoidea; Procaviidae. The record is from RNAcentral.